Helianthus annuus (common sunflower) is the source of this 596-nucleotide long non-coding RNA. RefSeq lists it as uncharacterized. Lineage: Eukaryota; Viridiplantae; Streptophyta; Magnoliopsida; Asterales; Asteraceae. The transcript has 3 exons. The record is from RefSeq and is a predicted model, not a curated record.
GCUCCAUGGGAGCCAAAACCCUAACUUUCAUCUAAUCCAUCAAAUUGAAAGGCUAAACGAAGCUUAAAUUCACAACCGAGCAUGAAUUAAUGAUCACCUUCACAAGAGGAUCAUAAGCAUUUGGUCAAAGUGACGCAAGCACGAAAGGCUCAAGGGUCAAAAGGACACAAGGAAGCGAACGCGAAUACGGCCGCAAAUAGGUAUGCUAUGGAAGUCCAUUGUGAUGUUUUGAGGAAUUGGAAUGCAAGAUUGUACUCGGAAGGAUGAUCGAAAAGUCUUGCACGAAUAGAAAGAUUGCGGCGUGGUCAAUUAAUUAUGUACGAUAGGUUAUGAAUGUAGAUUAUCAAAUUUUAAUGAUGUGCAUGUUUGUGGUGAAUGUAAGUUACACGGACUAACAUCGGUAUAAAGUAUUGGAGGAUUGAAGAUCGAGUCAAGGGCAAGAAUUGUACGGGAAGAGUAGUCACAUAUCUGGGGAUCGUAUAUGUAGUUGAUGUGGUAAUCAAGAUUAAACGUUGUAAAUCUUUUAAGAAAGUGUGGGUUAUUCCAGAAAGGAACUUAGAAAUAAGUUAAAUAAGUAAUAUAAAAAGAAAUUUUAA